This 465-nucleotide ribosomal RNA is filed under the name uncultured bacterium. RNAcentral's name for it is "partial 16S ribosomal RNA". It matches the Rfam family "Bacterial small subunit ribosomal RNA", at positions 338 to 795 of the family's 1533-position model. The record is from RNAcentral.
CCUACGGUGAGCAGCAGUGGGGAAUAUUGCGCAAUGGGCGAAAGCCUGACGCAGCGACGCCGCGUGAGGGAUGAAGGUCUUCGGAUCGUAAACCUCUGUCAGCAGGGAAGAACGGUCACUGUGCUAAUCAGCAGUGAAUUGACGGUACCUGCAAAGGAAGCACCGGCUAACGCCGUGCCAGCAGCCGCGGUAAUACGGAGGGUGCGAGCGUUAAUCGGAAUGACUGGGCGUAAAGCGCUCGUAGGCGGUAUGUCAAGUCAAGGGUGAAAUCCCCGCGCUCAACGUGGGAACUGCCUUUGAAACUGGCAAACUUGAGUGUGUUAGAGGAUAGUGGAAUUCCAGGUGUAGGAGUGAAAUCCGUAGAUAUCUGGAGGAACAUCAGUGGCGAAGGCGACUAUCUGGCACAUAACUGACGCUGAGGAGCGAAAGCGUGGGUAGCAAACAGGAUUAGAUACCCUUGUAGUC